GAUGAACGCUAGCGGGAGGCGUUAACACAUGCAAGUCGAGGGGCAGCAGGUCGGAACUUCGGUUUUGAUGCUGGCGACCGGCGCACGGGUGAGUAACGCGUAUGCAACCUACCCUUAACAGGGGGAUAGGUCCCGGAAACGGGAAUUAAUACCCCAUAACACUGCCAGGUGGCAUCACCAGGCAUUUAAAACUACGGUGGUUAGGGAUGGGCAUGCGUAACAUUAGCUAGUUGGUGAGGUAACGGCUCACCAAGGCAACGAUGUUUAGGGGGCCUGAGAGGGUGGUCCCCACACUGGUACUGAGACACGGACCAGACUCCUACGGGAGGCAGCAGUGAGGAAUAUUGGUCAAUGGGCGGAAGCCUGAACCAGCCAUCCCGCGUGCAGGAAGACGGCCCUAUGGGUUGUAAACUGCUUUUCUGAAGGAAGAAUAGUUUCGAUUUUUUCGGGAUAUGACGGUACUUCAGGAAUAAGCAUCGGCUAACUCCGUG
RNAcentral lists this ribosomal RNA (491 nucleotides) under uncultured bacterium. RNAcentral describes it as "bacterial SSU rRNA". It matches the Rfam family "Bacterial small subunit ribosomal RNA", at positions 28 to 507 of the family's 1533-position model. The record is from RNAcentral.